UAGGGAAUCUUCCACAAUGGACGCAAGUCUGCUGGAGCAACGCCGCGUGAGUGAAGAAGGUUUUCGGAUCGUAAAGCUCUGUUGUUGGUGAAGAAGGAUAGAGGCAGUAACUGGUCUUUAUUUGACGGUAAUCACCCAGAAAGUCACGGCUAACUACGUGCCAGCAGCCGCGGUAAUACGUAGGUGGCAAGCGUUGUCCGGAUUUAUUGGGCGUAAAGCGAGCGCAGGCGGAAUUAUAAGUCUGAUGUGAAAGACCACGGGUCAUCCGUGGAACUGCGUCGGAAACUGUCAUUGUUGAGUGCAGAAGAGGAGAGUGGGAUUCCAUGUGUGGCGGUGUAAUGCGUAGAUAUAUGGAAGAACACCAGUGGCGAAGGCGGCUCUCUGGUCUGCAACUGACGCUGAGGCUCGAAAGCAUGGGUAGCGAACAGG
Molecule: ribosomal RNA, 429 nt
Filed under: bacterium
Lineage: Bacteria
Description: partial 16S ribosomal RNA
Rfam family: Bacterial small subunit ribosomal RNA
Source: RNAcentral